AAAGAUUAAGCCAUGCAUGUCUAAGCAUGAACGAAUUUAAAGUGAAGCCGCGAAAAGCUCAUUACAACAGCCGUUGUUUCUUGGAUCUCCGCAAUAACAUGGAUAACUGUGGUAAUUCUAGAGCUAAUACACGCAAUCGAGACUCGACCUCACGGGACAGUCGCAUUUAUUAGUCCAAAACCAAUCGACUUUGUCGUACUUUGGUGAUUCUGAAUAACUACGCUGAUUGCAUGGUUUCAAACCGGCAACCAUUCCUUCAAGUGUCUGCCUUAUCAACUUUCGAUGGUAGUUUAUUUGACUACCAUGGUUUCGACGGGUAACGGAGAAUUAGGGUUCGACUCCGGAGAGGGAGCCUGAGAAACGGCUACCACUUCUAAGGAAGGCAGCAGGCGCGCAAAUUACCCACUCUCAGCACGAGGAGGUAGUGACGAAAAAUAACAAGAUGAUUCACUUAUGUGGGUUAUCAUUGGAAUGAGAACAAUCUAAACCUUUUAACGAGGACCUAGCGGAGGGCAAGUCUGGUGCCAGCAGCCGCGGUAAUUCCAGCUCCGCCAGUGUAUAUCUAUGCUGUUGCGGUUAAAAAGCUCGUAGUUGGAUCUUCGUGUAUGAAUCUGGUCCUCCUAAGGGAGUGCACUGGCGUUCUGCACUGAAUCGUUGGUUUUCCCCUCAUGGCCUUCAUCGGCUGUGUUGGGUGGCUAACAUUUUUACUUUGAAAAAAUUAGAGUGCUUAAAACAAGCGUUUGCUUGAAUAUUCUCGCAUGGAAUAAUGGAAUAGGACCUUGAUUCUAUUUUGUUGGUUUUCGGAAAACGAGGUAAUGAUUAAGAGGGACGGACGGGGGCAUUCGUAUUUCGACGUUAGAGGUGAAAUUCUUGGAUCGUCGAAAGACGCACUACUGCGAAAGCAUUUGCCAAGAAUGUUUUCAUUAAUCAAGAACGAAAGUUAGAGGUUCGAAGGCGAUCAGAUACCGCCCUAGUUCUAACCGUAAACGAUGUUAACUAGCGACUCGCAGGUGUUACUUUAACGGCCCUGCGAGGAGCUCCCGGGAAACCUAAGUGUUCGAAUUCCGGGGGAAGUAUGGUUGCAAAGCUGAAACUUAAAGGAAUUGACGGAAGGGCACCACCAGGAGUGGAGCUUGCGGCUUAAUUUGACUCAACGCGGGGAAACUCACUUGGUCAGGACACUGUAAGGAUUGACAGAUUGAAAGCUCUUUCUUGAUUCGGUGGAUGGUGGUGCAUGGCCGUUCUUAGUUGGUGGAGUGAUUUGUCUGGUUAAUUCCGAUAACGAGCGAGA
This 1291-nucleotide ribosomal RNA is filed under the name Nematoda environmental sample. RNAcentral describes it as "SSU rRNA". It matches the Rfam family "Eukaryotic small subunit ribosomal RNA", at positions 39 to 1340 of the family's 1831-position model. The record is from RNAcentral. Lineage: Eukaryota; Metazoa; Nematoda.